Non-coding RNA from Parelaphostrongylus tenuis, 73 nucleotides. Lineage: Eukaryota; Metazoa; Nematoda; Chromadorea; Rhabditida; Metastrongylidae. The record is from the annotation of a GenBank genome assembly.
GCGUCGCUAGUGCAACCGUUCAGCACACGCCUCUUAAAAGGGUGGAAUGUGGGUUUGAAUCCCAACUGACGCA